GCCGUCGGGGAGAGUGCGCAGGCGCAGACGGGGGCGGCGCGGCGGUUGGGGCGGCGGGGCGUCCGAGCGCUAACCAUGACCCAGCAGGGCGCGGCGCUGCAGACCUACAACAACGAGCUGGUCAAGUGCAUGGAGGAGCUGUGCCAGAAACGGGAGGAGCUGUGCCAGCAGAUCCAGCAGGAGGAGGAGGAGAAGCAGCGGCUGCAGGUCGAGGUGCGGCAGCUGACCGAGCGGCUGGCCCGCGUCAACGAGAACCUGGCCUGCAAGAUCGCCUCCCGCAACGAGUUCGACCGGACCAUCGCGGAGACGGAGGCCGCCUACCUCAAGAUCCUGGAGAGCUCGCAGACCCUGCUCAGCGUCCUCAAGAGGGAGACCGGGAACCUGAGCAAGGCCACCAUGGCCACGGAGCAGAAGGGCGGCGGGGGCAAGGACAGCUGACGGGCGGGGCCGCCCCCAGCUCUCCCUGAAGCAGCUGCACCGCACUGUGGCCCCGGGUGACCAGAAGCCGCCCAGACAGCCACCGGCGAGGGUCCUGGCCUCCCGCGCACCCAGGCCCUGGGGUGUUGGACUCCAGAGCCCACCAGCCCGUGCCUGUGCCGCGUCAACCGUGGGGCUGCGCGCACCCCUGGAGCCGGUCCCCGCCCAGCCGCUGUGGCCCCUGGGGACGGAGAGCUGAGGGUGCCCGCCCCACCCCAGGAGCCUGGACAGGGCUCUGCCCCUCUGCCCGCGUGAUGCAUCCGUCCACGGAGGCACCCGUCCCGCUCAGCAGGGCUGGGGCUCCAUCCCCUUGCCUGCUCCCGUUCAGGUCUGGGCCUAGCGGGUAAAGCAGCCGCCUGCAGUGCCGCUGCCCCACUCCCCAGCCAGCGCCUGCUGCCGAGGCCUGGGAAGGCCGUGGGAGAUGCCCAGUCCUCGGCCCUGCACGUGUGCGGGAGACCUGGAGGAAGCGCCUGGCUCAGCUCCAGCCGUGGUGGCCGUGUAGGGAGCGAACCAGUGGUGGGACCUGCCACUCCUUCACUCUGAGUCCGCGUUUGAAGUAAAUAAAUCUUCAGAAAAAAUAA
Non-coding RNA from Oryctolagus cuniculus (rabbit), 1058 nucleotides. NCBI's taxonomy places the organism in Eukaryota, Metazoa, Chordata, Mammalia, Lagomorpha, Leporidae. The record is from RefSeq and is a predicted model, not a curated record.